RNAcentral lists this ribosomal RNA (565 nucleotides) under Phrynoidis asper (giant Asian toad). RNAcentral's name for it is "partial 16S ribosomal RNA". It matches the Rfam family "Bacterial large subunit ribosomal RNA", at positions 1817 to 2597 of the family's 2925-position model. Lineage: Eukaryota; Metazoa; Chordata; Amphibia; Anura; Bufonidae. The record is from RNAcentral.
CGCCUCUUGCAAAAUAUAAGAGGUCCAGCCUGCCCAGUGACUCUGUUCAACGGCCGCGGUAUCCUAACCGUGCGAAGGUAGCGUAAUCACUUGUUCUUUAAAUGUGGACUAGUAUGAAUGGCACCACGAGGGUUAUACUGUCUCCUUUCUCUAAUCAGUGAAACUGAUCUCCCCGUGAAGAAGCGGGGAUACACCUAUAAGACGAGAAGACCCUAUGGAGCUUUAAACAAAAUAGCACUUGCCCUACAACACAAAAAUUCCUGAAUCACUAAUACACCUGGCAAUAUGACUAUAAGUUUUUGGUUGGGGUGACCACGGAGUACAACACAACCUCCGUAUUGAAAGAAUACUAUUCUAAGCUAAGAACUACGAAUCUAAGCAUCAAAACAUUGACAUCUAUUGACCCAAUACAAUUGAACAACGAACCAAGUUACCCUAGGGAUAACAGCGCAAUCCACUUCGAGAGCUCCUAUCGACAAGUGGGUUUACGACCUCGAUGUUGGAUCAGGGUCUCCCAGUGGUGCAGCCGCUACUAAUGGUUCGUUUGUUCAACGAUUAAAACCCU